AUGGAAAGGUUUCUAAAAAAGAGGAGAACCUCAGUGCAAGAUGAAAAUGUUGAUCCGUCACACGAACAUAAUCAGAACGAUGGCUCAGUUCCGCCACCAUCGGAUGGACAAAUUGAUGCAUCACCACAUGAACAGACUGAUGUUCCAGCCCCGCCAUCACCACAUGGACAAAAUGAUGCCUCCACACAUGAACCUAGUUCUGCCAAUACUACAAGGAAUUCAUCUCAAGUUGAAGAGAUCAAUUGGGAAGAAGAAAUUCAGUUUGAUCCAGGUAAAAGGAGAAGCAUAGAUGAGUACCAUCCCAAUCAGAGAGAUAUGGUAAGAAGGAAGUAUUUGGCCAAUGACCCUUGUCAACCUCGUACUGCUGAUUUUGAAGUGACAGAAAUAUGUGGUAAAGAUAGAAGGUUCGUUCGGGAAUGGUUUGAUGAGUUUGGGAGCUGGCUUGAGUAUAGUGAGUCCAAACGAAAAGCAUAUUGUUUUUGUUGUUUCUUGUUUAGACCGCGCAAGAAGAAAGAAGCCGGAUAUGAUGCAUUUGUUGCAAAUGGUUGGUCAAGUUGGAAUAAAAAAUAUAGAUUAAAGGAGCAUGUAGGAGACAUCAAUAGUGCUCACAACCAAGCAAAAAGAGAUUGUGAUGCUUUGCUGAAACAAAAGCAACACAUCUAUGUUGCUCUAAACAACCAAAGUAAUGUUGAGAGGAAUGCUUAUUAUACUCGACUAAAUGCCUCAAUUGAUGUUACUAGAGUGUUACUGAAGCAAGGGUUGCCUUUCCGUGGCCACGAUGAGUCUGACGAGUCUCUCAAUAAAGGUAAUUUCGAGGAAUUUCAUGCUUACACAGCAGAGCAGAAUCCGGAGGUAAGAAAAGUUGUGGCCCAUAAUGCUCCAGGUAAUAAUCAGUUGACUUCUUCAAAGAUUCAGAAGGACAUAGUUGAAUGUUUUGCAAAGGAGAUAUUGCAUUCUGUUCUUCGGGAAAUUGGGAAUGAUGUAUUUUCUUUGCUAGCUGAUGAAUCAAGGGAUGUGGCUGGUAAAGAGCAAAUGGCGGUGGUAUUGCGGUAUGUUGGUAAAUGUGGAAGUGCCAUAGAGACAUUAGUUGGCCUUACUCAUGUGAAGGAGACAACUUCCAAGUAUCUCAAGUCUGCCAUUGAUGAUUUAUUUGCAGAAUAUAAAUUAAGUUUCAAGCAAGUUAGAGGGCAAGGAUAUGACGGUGCGAGCAAUAUGCGAGGUGAGUUUAAUGGCUUACAAUCCUUAAUCAUGAGAGAGAAUAGCACAUCAUAUUAUGUUCACUGUUUUGCCCAUCAGCUUCAGUUAGUUGUUGUGGCUGUUGUUCGGAAGCACAAAUGCAUUGGUAAUUUUUUUGAUAUGAUCUCAGUCUUGUUGAAUGUGGUCUCUGGAUCCUCAAAGAGAAAGGACAUGAUUCAAGACAAACAUAAAGAACAAGUGUGUGAAGCUUUAGGUUGUGGACUGCUAAAAAGUGGGACAGGAUUAAAUCAAGAACUAGCUCUUCAAAGACCUGGAGACACUCGAUGGAGUUCUCACUACAAGACACUUAAGAGUUUGAUUGAUAUGUUCCGUACAGUUGUCAAAGUGCUAGAAUAUGUGGAAGAAGAAGACAGGGAUGACACAAAUAGAAGGCAGGCAUGUGGUCUUCUUGUUUAUUUCCAGUCUUUUGAUUUUGUGUUCUACUUACAGCUUAUGUCCACUAUAUUGAUAAUCACAAACACAUUAUCAUUGGCUCUACAACGGAAGAAUCAGGACAUUGUGAAUGCUAUUAAUUGUGUGAAUUCAACCAAAGCCUCCUUGAAUGAUCUAAGGAGAAAUGGAUGGGAAUCUGUCCUACAUGAAGCGUAUGUCUUUUGUGACAAGCAUGCCAUUUCCAAGUUGCAAAUGGAAGACCAAUAUGUGAAUCCAAAGAAGCCACGGCAAAAAACAGGUAUCACUAAUAGGCAUCAUUAUGAAGUGGAUUGUUUUAAUGAUGUUAUUGAUUGGCUGCUUCAACAACUUGAUAAUCGCUUCAAUGAGAAAAAUUCUGAACUACUUGUUUGCUCAGCGGCUUUGAGCCCAAAUGAAUCAUUUCAUGAUUUCAACUUAGAACAUUUGAUGAGUCUAGCUAAACUUUAUCCAAAAGAUUUUGAUGAUGGAGAACUCAGGGACCUUAGGCAUCACCUUCAUCUUUACAUUGCUGAUGUCCGAGCAGAUGAUCGCUUCUCUGGAUUAAGUAAUAUUUGUGAGCUCUCUCAAAAAAUGGUGGAGACAAGAAAACAUAUUGUCUAUCCCUUGGUUUACCGACUUUUGAAGCUAGCACUAGUAUUGCCUGUUGCCACUGCUACAGUUGAGAGAUCUUUUUCAGCUAUGAGAAUUGUGAAGACAUAUUUGCGCAAUCGUCUUGGUGACGACACCUUGAAGUACGAACUUAUUUGUUAUGUGGAGAAAAGCGAAAUGAGGAAGGUUACUAAUGAUGCGGUAAUUGAUCGCUUUCAAGCCAUGAAAAAACGUCGGAAAUCAUUUUAG
RNAcentral lists this ribosomal RNA (2505 nucleotides) under Triticum aestivum (bread wheat). RNAcentral's name for it is "partial small subunit ribosomal RNA". Lineage: Eukaryota; Viridiplantae; Streptophyta; Magnoliopsida; Poales; Poaceae. The record is from RNAcentral.